ACCCGGUACCUCAGAUGGAAAUGCAGAAAUCACCCGUCUUCUGCGUCGCUCACGCUGGGAGCUGUAGACCGGAGCUGUUCCUAUUCGGCCAUCUUGGCUCCUCCGAAUGUGAUUUUGAAGAAAGGAGGAAAGAUGUGAAAAGUGAUUGGUCAGCCACAUUCAUGGUGUUGAGAAAAGAAUUUGCUUUUCUGGAACAUAGCCUGUGAUAGCAGAACAACACCUGGCAAGAAACAGGUUAUGUUUGGCUGGAGAGUCAUUGGCACUAUCAAGAAAUAUUAAAGUGUAGAUUUGAGAGAGGAGGAGAAAGACCCAAGCAAAAUUGAAAACCAGGUGGGACCCAGACAGCAGCAAAGCAAUGGAAGCAUGUAUUUUGGUCAAUAUAGAGUUAAUACACAAUUUUGCCCCUCUUCUUCUGAUCAUGGGACUCAUAUUACCAGUCUUCACAUUUCCUUUAAAUUCAGGAAUCAGGAAGAAUUUCCAGAGUUUGCAGAUGGACACAUUUGCUGCUUCCAUUCUAAACAUAAGUUAGAAGAACCUUUCAACUGGAUUCCAACUUUAAUAUGUCACAAACAUAAAAAAGAAAGCUAUUUCCUGGACUUUUCUUCAUUAGAAAUUAAUAGAUUGUCAAUUGGCAUAGGGAAAAGAUAAUCAACAGAUGCCAACCCCAAGUUAACAGAAAUGCUAAAAUUAUAAGACAAAGACUUCAAAAUAGCUAUUUUAAUUUUGCCUAGUGAGGUAAAUGCAAACAUGCUCACUAUGAAUGAAAACAGGUAAUCUCAGCAGUCAUGUAAACUAUAAAAAUAAGCAAAUAUAAAUUUUAGAAUUAAAACACAAUAUCUAAAAAUAAAUUCACCUGAUAUUCUCAAUAGAAAAAAUGGUAAUGCAGAGAAAAAUGUAUGAAAAUAUGGCAAUUUGAAGAAGAGAGAAGAGAUCAAUAAAAUAAAUAAGUAUAUCCUUGGAGACCUGUGGAUGUUUUUUGAAAAGUGAAUCAUGUAAGUAAUUGAAGUCCCAGAAGAAAAGAAAAGAAGAGGAUGAGCAGAAAAAAAUUUCUGAAAAAAUAUCUGAAAGCUUAAACACUAUAAUGAAAGACACACAUUUACAAACUCAAGAAGUUUAGUAAACCAAAAACAAUAAAAUCAAAGAGAACUGUGCCAAGCGACAUCAUUUUCAACCUGCUGAAGAUCUUGACAGCAGUCAGAGAAAAAAGACACACUUAUUACACAGAGAGGAACAAUACAUUAAAUACUAGCACACUUCUCAUCAGAGAUCAUUAAGCCCAGAAGACAGUGGAAUGAGAUCUUUAAAGUGCUGAAAUAAAAUAAAUGUUGAUUAAAAAAUUCUAUAGCU
Molecule: long non-coding RNA, 1347 nt
Filed under: Homo sapiens (human)
Lineage: Eukaryota; Metazoa; Chordata; Mammalia; Primates; Hominidae
Description: non-protein coding CASC9:3
Source: RNAcentral